UACAGAGGGUGCAAGCGUUAAUCGGAAUUACUGGGCGUAAAGCGUGCGUAGUCGGCUUUUUAAGUCGGGUGUGAAAUCCCCGGGCUCAACCUGGGAAUUGCAUUCGAUACUGGAUCGCUAGAGUUCGGCAGAGGGAAGCGGAAUUUCGGGUGUAGCGGUGAAAUGCGUAGAUAUCUGGAGGAACACCGGUGGCGAAGGCGGCAUCCUGGACCGGCAUUGACGCUGAGGCGCGAAAGCCAGGGGAGCAAACGGG
RNAcentral lists this ribosomal RNA (253 nucleotides) under uncultured bacterium. RNAcentral describes it as "partial 16S ribosomal RNA". It matches the Rfam family "Bacterial small subunit ribosomal RNA", at positions 524 to 776 of the family's 1533-position model. The record is from RNAcentral.